Molecule: long non-coding RNA, 220 nt
Filed under: Ananas comosus (pineapple)
Lineage: Eukaryota; Viridiplantae; Streptophyta; Magnoliopsida; Poales; Bromeliaceae
Description: long non-coding RNA (ACOM_LNC023666)
Source: RNAcentral
AUUUCAUCAUCAUAGCUCUUAAUUUAUUCCACUUAUUAUUUUACUCUCCAACCCUUUUGUUUUUUUUUUUUUUUUUUGUGCAUAUUGAAUAGAAAUUAGAAAUAUAAGGUAUUCAUAAAAAUAAGGGAUAAAUUGCAGUUUGGUUCUCAAACUUUAAUUUUUUAUAAUUGUUUGGCUCAAACUUUUAAAAUUAUUACAAUUAAGUCCCACAAUUCAAUUU